This 480-nucleotide ribosomal RNA is filed under the name uncultured bacterium. Its description in RNAcentral is "bacterial SSU rRNA". It matches the Rfam family "Bacterial small subunit ribosomal RNA", at positions 955 to 1435 of the family's 1533-position model. The record is from RNAcentral.
CUUAACGCGAAGAACCUUACCUACUCUUGACAUCCAGAGAACUUUCCAGAGAUGGAUUGGUGCCUUCGGGAACUCUGAGACAGGUGCUGCAUGGCUGUCGUCAGCUCGUGUUGUGAAAUGUUGGGUUAAGUCCCGCAACGAGCGCAACCCUUAUCCUUUGUUGCCAGCGGUUCGGCCGGGAACUCAAAGGAGACUGCCAGUGAUAAACUGGAGGAAGGUGGGGAUGACGUCAAGUCAUCAUGGCCCUUACGAGUAGGGCUACACACGUGCUACAAUGGCGUAUACAAAGAGAAGCGACCUCGCGAGGGCAAGCGGACCUCAUAAAGUAAGUGGUAGUCCGGAUUGGAGUCUGCAGCUCGACUCCAUGAAGCCGGAAUCGCUAGUAAUCGUAGAUCAGAAUGCUACGGUGAAUACGUUGCCGGCCCUUGUACACACCGCCCCCCGUACCCCCGCCCCGCCCCGCGCGCGCGGCGGGCGAAG